CCUGACGGUGCACGCCGCGUGAACGAUGAAGGUUUUCGGAUCGUAAAGUUCUGUUAUGAGGGAAGAACAAGUGCCGUUCGAAUAGGUCGGCACCUUGACGGUACCUCACGAGAAAGCCCCGGCUAACUACGUGCCAGCAGCCGCGGUAAUACGUAGGGGGCAAGCGUUGUCCGGAAUUAUUGGGCGUAAAGCGCGCGCAGGCGGUCUCUUAAGUCUGAUGUGAAAGCCCACGGCUCAACCGUGGAGGGUCAUUGGAAACUGGGGGACUUGAGUGUAGGAGAGGAAAGUGGAAUUCCACGUGUAGCGGUGAAAUGCGUAGAUAUGUGGAGGAACACCAGUGGCGAAGGCGACUUUCUGGCCUACAACUGACGCUGAGGCGCGAAAGCGUGGGGAGCAAACAGGAUUAGAUACCCUGGUAGUCCACGCCGUAAACGAUGAGUGCUAGGUGUUAGGGGUUUCGAUACCCUUAGUGCCGAAGUUAACACAUUAAGCACUCCGCCUGGGGAGUACGGCCGCAAGGCUGAAACUCAAAGGAAUUGACGGGGGCCCGCACAAGCAGUGGAGCAUGUGGUUUAAUUCGAAGCAACGCGAAGAACCUUACCAGGUCUUGACAUCCUCUGACACCUCUGGAGACAGAGC
RNAcentral lists this ribosomal RNA (639 nucleotides) under Bacillus sp. LAR6R6. RNAcentral describes it as "bacterial SSU rRNA". It matches the Rfam family "Bacterial small subunit ribosomal RNA", at positions 382 to 1012 of the family's 1533-position model. Lineage: Bacteria; Bacillati; Bacillota; Bacilli; Caryophanales; Bacillaceae. The record is from RNAcentral.